Molecule: ribosomal RNA, 788 nt
Filed under: uncultured bacterium
Lineage: Bacteria
Description: bacterial SSU rRNA
Rfam family: Bacterial small subunit ribosomal RNA
Source: RNAcentral
AGAGUUUGAUCAUGGCUCAGAACGAACGCUGGCGGCGUGCUUAACACAUGCAAGUCGAGUGCGCGUACCGUAGCAAUACGGUAUGGCGCACGGCGCACGGGUGCGUAACACGUGGGCAAUCUGCCCUUCGAUGGGGAAUAACUCCGGGAAACCGAAGCUAAUUCCGCAUAACAUUCCUUGGACUCCGGUUCGAGGACUCAAAGCCGUAAGGCGUCGAAGGAGGAGCCCGCGCCCGAUUAGCUAGUUGGUGAGGUAACGGCUCACCAAGGCAAUGAUCGGUAGCUGGUCUGAGAGGAUGGCCAGCCACACUGGAACUGAGACACGGUCCAGACUCCUACGGGAGGCAGCAGUGGGGAAUCUUGCGCAAUGGGCGAAAGCCUGACGCAGCGACGCCGCGUGGGGGAUGAAGCAUUUCGGUGUGUAAACCCCUUUCGACUGGGACGAAUACCUCGCAAGAGGGGUGACGGUACCAGUAGAAGAAGCCCCGGCUAACUACGUGCCAGCAGCCGCGGUAAGACGUAGGGGGCCAGCGUUGUUCGGAAUUACUGGGUGUAAAGGGUUCGUAGGCGGUGUGGCAAGUCGGGAGUGAAAUCUAUGGGCUUAACCCAUAGGCUGCUUCCGAAACUGCCGUGCUUGAGUGUGGGAGAGGCGCGUGGAAUUGCAGGUGUAGCGGUGAAAUGCGUAGAUAUCUGCAGGAACACCCGUGGCGAAAGCGGCGCGCUGGACCACUACUGACGCUGAGGAACGAAAGCUAGGGGAGCAAACAGGAUUAGAUACCCUAGUAGUCC